This 407-nucleotide ribosomal RNA is filed under the name uncultured bacterium. RNAcentral describes it as "partial 16S ribosomal RNA". It matches the Rfam family "Bacterial small subunit ribosomal RNA", at positions 29 to 526 of the family's 1533-position model. The record is from RNAcentral.
AUUGAACGCUGGCGGCAGGCCUAACACAUGCAAGUCGAGCGGAGCGGCGGACGGGUGAGUAAUGCCUAGGAAUCUGCCUGGUAGUGGGGGAUAAGGUCCGGAAACGGGCGCUAAUACCGCAUACUAUCAGAUGAGCCUAGGUCGGAUUGGCUAGUUGGUGGGGGAAAGGCCUACCAAGGCGACGGGCCGUAACUGGUCUGAGAGGAUGAUCAGCCACACUGGAACUGAGACACGGUCCAGACUCCUACGGGAGGCAGCAGUGGGGAAUAUUGCACAAUGGGCGCAAGCCUGAUGCAGCCAUGCCGCGUGUAUGAAGAAGGCCUUCGGGUUGUAAAGUACUUUCAGCGGGGAGGCGUUACCCGCAGAAGAAGCACCGGCUAACUCCGUGCCAGCAGCCGCGGUAAUUC